CAUCUGGGCGUGAGGGACCGGCGGGAGCCGCGAUUGGGCAGCAGGUGGCAGGAGAGCUCCAGAAAUCCCUGCUGCGCUCCGCUGCUACCCGCUGCUGCAAGCACCUCGCGGGGAGGAGGGAGCGGGGCUGCGGCUGAGAAGGAGGCUUUGGGACGGGCAUCCUCCUCCGCGCUGCUCUUGGGAAAGAUCUUCUGGGAGUGCAAGUUUGGGAAAGGGAAUGAAGAUGGUUUUGGUAUAAAGUGAGGCUUUUGGGGGUUUGUGAAUGGGGAUUUUAACAGGCACGGCCCAUUGUCUACUGUGCCUUCAUUUAGGGAAUGAAUAUGCAGGGAGACAAGGGCAAGGAUGCUGGGUGCUGCCUGGCCCUUCUCAGACCUCAGUAUUGACAGAGAGAAUAAUUAACCAUUUAUUAUGCUCUUACAUAUGUUUUGCCUCAAGGACAUGGAAUCUCUUAUUAAUUACAUACAUUGCUUGUUCUUAUUUCCUGAGUGGGUGACUGAAAAAGGAAAUUAAAUUGUGCAGAACUGCAUGUAUUACUGGUAGCACAGAAAAAGAGCACUCUCUGCAUGGGGAGCCCAAACUCUUAAGGGCCUGUGUUGCUUAAAGGUAACUAAUGAUUCCUAGCUGUGAUAAAAGUCUGAGGAUUUAGGAGACGAGGUUGGCAGGGAGAGGUAAUAAGCUCUAGGAGAUUAGCUCUUAAAACUGGAAAUGAAGACAGCCUCUUGGGCUCACAGGUACUUCUAUUCCAUACAGGGGGUCUAUAAGCAUAGCUUUCCGUUACUUGUACUAUGGGAGGAGUCAUGUUUGCACCUGCUGUGGUUUAACCCUGGCAGGCAGCUUCGCACUACGCUGCUUGUUCACGCACUCCCUGCAGUGGGAUGGGAAGUAAUCCAAGAACUUGUGGGUUGAGAUACAGACAGUUUGUUAGGUAAAGCAAUUCUGUGCGCACAAGCAAAGAUAAACAAGGAAUUCAUUUACUGCUCCCCAUCAUCAGGCAGUUCAGCCAUCACAUCUCUUGGGAAGAUGAAUGCCAUCCCUCUGAACAUCAGCCCCCUCCUUGUCCUUUCUCCCAGCUUUUAUUGUUGAGCACAAUGUCCUGUGGCAUGGGAUGUCCCUUUGGGCAGUCUGGGUCAGCUGUCCUGGCUGUGACCCAGCUGUUAGGAACCCCCAGCUCCUUGCUGGCAGGGCAGUUUGACUAAUGCAGAAGUCCUUGAUGCUGUGCAAGCACUGCUCAGCAGCAACCAAAACAUCAGUAUGCUAUCAACACUGUUUUCCUUACAGGGCUACUCAAGCUGCUGCAGAGAAAAAUAACUCUUUUUUUUCCAGGCAAAACUAGUACAGGACCACAUCUUUUUAAAAGACAUCUAUUUUCUGUGCUCUUAAUACUGCACCAUCACUACUUACACUGGUGUAACUUGCACAGAGACCUGCUUUGCUGCCGUGGAAAGUAGGGGCUCCUGAGUUUCACCAGCUAAUUUGGGGUGUUCCUGCAGAUCUCCACCUUCACUGCAUGCCUUACCUAACUCAGUGUGUACUUAUACACCUCAUAAAGCUGUUGUCCAGACCCUGGGCUCUGCCCUUCAAAAAGUGUUGCACAUUGCAAGGCCUGAAGGUGACUUCAAGCCUUUGUCCUUCAUCCUGUAUUCAGUUUGGGUUCCCCUCAUGAAGGAAGGAUUGAAAGUAUGGUUAUAUUUUCCUGUCUGUUGGGAUUUUCUAAAUAUCCACUGUUAAAGUUUUAUACCUGUAAUGUUGUCAUCCAUUUGGAUGUGGAUUUAUAUUACCAGGGAGCUGGUUUUGCUUUUUGUAGAUUCAUUAAACUGACCAAGGAGAGAAAAGGGAGAGAAAGCACUUAUGUCAUCCAGUACUAAAAUAUGACAACUGGAUAUUUUUAUUUGAAGAAACUUCGCGGUUCUCUUAUGGCUCCCACUCAGUGGUCUUCAAAGUCAACAGCACUCUUUGGAUCAAGCUCUGUGGUCAUUAUAAACUUUUAAAAAGACACUCUACGCAUAAUGUAAUCUGGAUUAGGAACUCUAUUUUUCCUGGCCAACGUGCUGACUGUGUCUCCUCAUAACAUUAAGAAAGGCAUAUGGCAAGAGAGGAAAGAACUGCAAAAGCAGCCUCCCUGUUUCGUGCUAGGAGUUAUGAUGUUUGGAGACUACACAUACAAACAGCAAGCUCCUCAUGAAGCCUACCACUGCCUCUGCUAGCUGUGGGGAAAAUCAGAGGCCAGAAGUUGAUUCUAUUUUUGUCCAAACAGCAUGUGGAAAGGAAAAUAAUGUUCCCUGUGAGAACAUGCUGCUUCUGAAUCCUCCUGAGCCUGCCAGCUGACUAAGGAAAGAACUACAAGGGCCUAUCAGAGGCACACCUACUGCUGACUGAAGGACAGCGCUUCCUGACCAGAGACAGUUAAUCAUCAACAGCUCUAUGAGGCAUCUCAUUUUGUGUGCUGAACCACAUCGAGCACUGGAGCCACUUUUCCAAUGACAGAAACACUCUGUUCUGCUGGCCAGCGCUGCCUGUGCACAUGGGGACUUGAAGUACCCUGCAGGACGCAGCCCUAAAGGCACCAGGGAAAAAGACUGAGGCAUGUGUGCUACGACAGUGGUGCCAAAUUUCUUCCCUGUGGCAUGGCCCAGGCUAAAGCUUAACCCUCAGCUCCUCCAUGCUCGCUGCUCAGCAGGGGACAAGGGGACAGACUGCUGUAGUCAGCAUGAUCAGUCCUCAGCUGUGAACUGAUCAAGCAGACAGGCAGUAACAGAGACAAGAUUUGUCCACCUUUGUGACGGGAAGGAAUCUGUACAGGAAAACCAUCACUGGCUGGAAUCAGCCAGAUAUGGGUGGGACUCAGGCAGAGGGAAUGCUUGUACAGAAGGAUGAUAACGGCUCCACAGUCACUGUUCUUGUAUCAAGGCCUUCCCAAAAAAUGCCACUAUAAAGGCAGUUUUCAAAUAGAAAGCCCUUCUGUCCACCCCCCAGUUUAGCAAACCUCCAAGAUAUGAGAUGGCAGAGAUCCUCUAUAAGCAGCCUUUGUCAAAGCCCCAGCAGGGUAGUGACAGAACACACAGCUUGUGGCUUUGCUUUGUAGGCUCAGGAUCCACCCAGUGGGCCUCAACUAUGUUUUAUGUGUGUUCUCAAUUAGCAGCCUACCAAAUGGCUAAGAAAGGACAUUUUGAUCUUCAGCCCAGCAAGCUAAUGCAACACCUUUCUUCUUGAAAGUAAAUCAAAUUAAUGUGUGUAAUUUUGGCCACAUGCAGUUUGUAGAACAAAGGAAGUAAUGGAAAACAUCUUCUAACCACCACACAUGUUUUAUUCCACAUACUUGUGACUACAGCAUAGAAAUUUGUCUUCCUGUUAUCGCAUUCAUUUCAUUUCCACUGGACUUAUGUAAAC
This is a non-coding RNA of Coturnix japonica (Japanese quail), 3387 nucleotides long. Lineage: Eukaryota; Metazoa; Chordata; Aves; Galliformes; Phasianidae. The record is from RefSeq and is a predicted model, not a curated record.